UUGAACUCGGCAAAUUGCCCCCGUAACUUCGGGAGAAGGGGGGCCUCCGCUGGUGAUCAGACUUGCUUUGUGAGCUGGUGGGGGUCGCAGAGGCCAGGGGGAAGCGACUGUUUACUAAAAACACAGGUCCGUGCGAAGUCGUAAGACGAUGUAUACGGACUGACGCCUGCCCGGUGCUGGAACGUUAAGGGGACCGGUUAGCGCAUUUCGGUGUGCGAGGCUGAGAACUUAAGCGCCAGUAAACGGCGGUGGUAACUAUAACCAUCCUAAGGUAGCGAAAUUCCUUGUCGGGUAAGUUCCGACCUGCACGAAUGGCGUAACGACUUCCCCGCUGUCUCAACCGCAGACCCGGCGAAAUUGCACUACGAGUAAAGAUGCUCGUUACGCGCAGCAGGACGGAAAGACCCCGGGACCUUCACUACAGCUUGACAUUGGCGUUUGGAACGUCUUGUGUAGGAUAGGUGGGAGACUGUGAAGCUGUCACGCUAGUGGCGGUGGAGUCAUUGGUGAAAUACCACUCUGGUCGUUUUGAACGUCUAACUUCGGUCCGUGAUCCGGAUCAGGGACAGUGUCUGGUGGGUAGUUUAACUGGGGCGGUUGCCUCCUAAAGAGUAACGGAGGCGCCCAAAGGUUCCCUCAGCCUGGUUGGUAAUCAGGUGUCGAGUGUAAGUGCACAAGGGAGCUUGACUGUGAGACCGACGGGUCGAGCAGGAGCGAAAGCUGGGACUAGUGAUCCGGCGGUGGCAUGUGGAAGCGCCGUCGCUCAACGGCUAAAAGGUACCCCGGGGAUAACAGGCUGAUCUUCCCCAAGAGUCCAUAUCGACGGGAUGGUUUGGCACCUCGAUGUCGGCUCGUCGCAUCCUGGGGCUGGAGUAGGUCCCAAGGGUUGGGCUGUUCGCCCAUUAAAGCGGUACGCGAGCUGGGUUUAGAACGUCGCGAGACAGUUCGGUCCCUAUCCGCUGCGCGCGCAGGAGACUUGAAAGGAGCUGUCCCUAGUACGAGAGGACCGGGACGGACGAACCUCUGGUGUGCCAGUUGUUCCGCCAGGAGCAUGGCUGGUUGGCUACGUUCGGAAGGGAUAACCGCUGAAAGCAUCUAAGCGGGAAGCUCGCCUUGAGAUGAGGUCUCCCACCACGAGAGUGGGUAAGGCCCCCGGGAGACGACCGGGUUGAUAGGCCGGAGGUGGAAGCAUGGCAACGUGUGGAGCUGACCGGUACUAAUAGGCCGAGGACUUGACCAC
This 1240-nucleotide ribosomal RNA is filed under the name metagenome. Its description in RNAcentral is "bacterial LSU rRNA". It matches the Rfam family "Bacterial large subunit ribosomal RNA", at positions 1708 to 2925 of the family's 2925-position model. The record is from RNAcentral.